CUGGAAUCAGAGAUCCAACAUAAAUAGGACUUGCAAAUAGCACAGAAGAUCCAGUAUUUUGCAGAGAACUGUUGACCCUUACCUCAGUCAUCUACCCUAGGUUAGAUGUUGCCUGACCUGUUGGGAUACUCGUGCAUCUUGCGCAUGUUGCUCUGGAUUGCCGGCAUUUGCAGAAUUUCUUUACUUCUGAUGCUGCCUGGCCUGCUGAGUUCCCCAGCAUUUUGUGUAUGUUGCUGGGAUUUCCAGCAUCUGCAGAUUUUCUCCUGUUUAGAAUUAAUUUAAUGAUGGAUGAAAGUCGAUUUUAAAACAUAACAAACAUGAAUAUUUCCCUUUAAAAGCAAUGGCUGAAUCGAAUUUUGACACUAGAAUUUAAGUUUUAUGCUGUAGCACUCAGAAGAUUUUGUAUGACAAAUGUGUGGUUUGGGAAUUCAGCCACGAGGGUCAGUGUGCCUGAACUGUGGGAGCAUUGAAUUUCUAGCCAUUAAAAUGAAUGAACAGAAAAUCAUGCAAGUCGUGAAUUAGUCAUGAUGGAUUCCAGAUUCAAAUUCCUGAUAUGUGUCUUGGUCAUGCAAUGCUCUGCCUUGGGAAUAGCAAAUCAUAAACACUAACUAAGAUAUUUCCUUCAGGCUAAUUGUUUUUAGAAUGCAAUGAUUAUUGUAAAAUUACAUGACAUGAAACUGAAAUACAAUAUUUUCAUUACAC
Hypanus sabinus (Atlantic stingray) is the source of this 702-nucleotide long non-coding RNA. RefSeq lists it as uncharacterized. The record is from RefSeq and is a predicted model, not a curated record. NCBI's taxonomy places the organism in Eukaryota, Metazoa, Chordata, Chondrichthyes, Myliobatiformes, Dasyatidae. The transcript has 3 exons.